GAGGCAGGGAUCAGCCAGAUACCAAGAUAUCACAGACACACAGGGAAAAAGAUCAUCCUGAAAUUUGCUCAGAUUAGGAACCAUUAUUCAGUGUUCUGUUAUCAAUAAGACCAAGAAUAGGGGCUGAGGCUGAUCCAUUAUUCAGGUAGUAUUGGCAGCAUGACCAAAGGCGGUGCCAAGGAAGGGUACAAUGUCUCUGGAAACAAGCUCAAGCAUUUUCCCUCAACCCUGGAGUCUACUAGCACCAGCCAGACCUCUGUACCUCUGUGGCAGUGCAUC
Molecule: long non-coding RNA, 279 nt
Filed under: Homo sapiens (human)
Lineage: Eukaryota; Metazoa; Chordata; Mammalia; Primates; Hominidae
Description: long non-coding RNA NONHSAT123805.2
Source: RNAcentral